This 492-nucleotide ribosomal RNA is filed under the name uncultured bacterium. RNAcentral's name for it is "partial 16S ribosomal RNA". It matches the Rfam family "Bacterial small subunit ribosomal RNA", at positions 29 to 507 of the family's 1533-position model. The record is from RNAcentral.
AGUGAACGCUGGCGGUAGGCCUAACACAUGCAAGUCGAACGGCAGCACAGUAAGAGCUUGCUCUUACGGGUGGCGAGUGGCGGACGGGUGAGGAAUACAUCGGAAUCUACUUUUUCAUGGGGGAUAACGUAGGGAAACUUACGCUAAUACCGCAUACGACCUACGGGUGAAAGCAGGGGAUCUUCGGACCUUGCGCGAUUGAAUGAGCCGAUGUCGGAUUAGCUAGUUGGCGGGGUAAAGGCCCACCAAGGCGACGAUCCGUAGCUGGUCUGAGAGGAUGAUCAGCCACACUGGAACUGAGACACGGUCCAGACUCCUACGGUAGGCAGCAGUGGGGAAUAUUGGACAAUGGGCGCAAGCCUGAUCCAGCCAUACCGCGUGGGUGAAGAAGGCCUUCGGGUUGUAAAGCCCUUUUGUUGGGAAAGAAAAGCAGCAGGUUAAUACCCCGCUGUUCUGACGGUACCCAAAGAAUAAGCACCGGCUAACUUCGUG